GAGAGUUAAAUAGCACGUGAAAUUGUUGAAAGGGAAACGAUUGAAGCCAGUCGUACCGGCGGAUAAUCAGCCUUUCAGGUGCGAUUCUGUGGGGCGUGAGGAGCUUAACCGCCUUCAUGUUUUGCAUAUUCGUGCACAUUUGGUGUACUUGUCCGUGUGGUGGGUUAACAUCAAUUUCGGUCGUCAUAAAAUGAUUGGAGGAAUGUAGCUUUGAUCUCGUAUCGAAGUGUUAUAGACUCUGGUAGAUGUGACGAUUGGGAUUGAGGAUUGCAACGGAUACCCCUUCGGGGGCUACCCGUCUGAUCUCUGAAGGUUGCUCCGGUGCCGAAAGCGUGCUUACGGUUAUCGAAAGUGAUUUUCAAAAGGUUAGAACGGGUUAAAUUCGUUAAGGAUGUUGACGUAAUGGCUUUAAACGA
This 416-nucleotide ribosomal RNA is filed under the name uncultured Glomeraceae. RNAcentral describes it as "partial 28S ribosomal RNA". Lineage: Eukaryota; Fungi; Glomeromycota; Glomeromycetes; Glomerales; Glomeraceae. The record is from RNAcentral.